CAAGUCCACUGCGAUGAAGGUAUAGCGAACCGCAUCGGCCCCGAGCCGUGCGCUGGCGCCCGCGAGGACGUCGGCGAAGCGUCGGCAGGGGAGCGCAUAGGCCAGCCAUUGAGCCUCGAAAAUAUCUUUCCUCUGGGUGCUGACGCUGUCGACAAGGCGGAAAGCAACACGUUCGGGCGCGCGAUCGCGAGCGCCCGAACGACCCGGCGUGGUCGAAGACAC
Molecule: non-coding RNA, 222 nt
Organism: Acidithiobacillus sp. GGI-221
Lineage: Bacteria; Pseudomonadati; Pseudomonadota; Acidithiobacillia; Acidithiobacillales; Acidithiobacillaceae
Source: Rfam